AAAUUUGGCUCAGACCUAUCAUUUACAUCCUCACAGAAUUCAGAAAAGGAUUGGCUCAAUGAUAAUUCGAUCAUUGCCAG
Molecule: non-coding RNA, 80 nt
Organism: Caenorhabditis elegans
Lineage: Eukaryota; Metazoa; Nematoda; Chromadorea; Rhabditida; Rhabditidae
Source: Ensembl